This 2807-nucleotide long non-coding RNA is filed under the name Phasianus colchicus (ring-necked pheasant). RNAcentral describes it as "lncRNA (ENSPCLG00000005710.1)". The record is from RNAcentral. Lineage: Eukaryota; Metazoa; Chordata; Aves; Galliformes; Phasianidae.
AGGGAGUCAUGCCAAUGAAGCAACAGGAAAGAAGCAGCAUAAAUUGCGAUGCAAUUAGCUUUUUCCUUUCUUCCCUGAAUAGACGUGUUAAUGGAUACCAUUCAAACUGCUUCAUUCACAGUGAUACAGUGCUCUGUUAUGAAAUCAUUCAGUUUGUGUUUAACAGUAAAAAUGGGAAUACUUUAAGUGCUGCAACUGCUGAGACCACUUGCACUUAGUCUGUAGAAAGUACUUGAUAUUUUGCAGGAUCAGGCCUAGAAUACCGAGCCUUCUUCUAUAGGAAUGAAUGUAAGCUGAUCUGCUGCUUAUGAGAAGUUACCUUUUUUGACCUGGGAAGAUUGGAAAAGAAAUCUGGAAUUGCAGGAUGUGGAUUUGGCUUCAGUCUUUACCUUGAUGAUUUCAGAAUAAUCUUUGACAUUCAGAAUUAAUCAGUCCUUGGCUACUUCUGGAGAAAACCCCAAGCCAUCAUGGGCUCAGGAUGUGGCCUAACUCCCCAUGUGCAGCAUGGUUCUGGACUACACAAGGUGCAGGCUGUGGUACCAAAUAAGCUGUCCUCAUUCGGCAGGCUGAGCUGCUCUCAGAGGACUUCAUGGCCUUGUAUCACACCCAGAAUGAGGAGCGGGCACCAAAUAAUAAACAAAAAUAUGCUGUCAUCCUCAACCUCUUGUGGGAUGGAGGAGAAGUCUGACAACUUAACUUGGCUUUGCUAUCCCUCAUGGGCAAACGUGCUUCCUUUCCUUCCUGUGAUGCAUUGCAAGCGUAAUGUGUCUUGUCCUGCUGCCAAUACCACCACAAUAGAUUACAGUGCUUCUCUGAGCAGAGAUACUGGAUGUUUAGCUGAUUAAAUUGAUCCUUGGAGUAAUUGUCACACAAGAACCACAGUGAUUGCCUAUGUUACUGGUUUUGUGCUUCUCAGAAUAGCUUUUUUCUUGUAAAUCUUCCUGUGUUGGCAGAGGGAAUUUUAGGACUGACGUUCUGUGGUAAGGUACACAUACAUGAUAUCAUUAAAAAGGCAAGCUUUUAAUAUAAAUGUAAAACCCAAAUUCAGUGUGUAAUAAGAGCGAUAUAUGUAUGUGGCUAUGUAUGUAUGAAGAGAAUUUUACCGUUGGAAGAAGCAUAAGUGUUUGAAGGUGUGAAAUUAAAGGCAAAGGGAGGGCAAUCUACUCCUCUACACAUGACAUCCCCACAAAAGUCACAGGGCCAAAAUAUCCCAAAGACACAAUCUCCUACUUCUGAAGUCAAUGACAAAAAAAAUCCAUGCUGUAUCAGUAAGUAAGGCUGAAGGCUUUUAAAAGCUAUUAAUAUCAUUUUAUCCAUUACUUGUUUUGGAAAAUGAGACAAGCUCGCUUGAGUCAUCUUUUGUGGCUUCAGAGUCAGCAUAACAGAUCACGGGCUGGAGAUCCCAUCUCACCUGAUUGUCUUCACCUCUGUGAAAUGUACCCCUACUUUGGAGAGAAGGAUAUCUGCCAUUUUGUUCUCCAUUAUUCAUUUCAGAAAAUGUAGCCUCAUCUAUUUACCAGUCUGUGAUGAGGCAGAAAGCGGGGUCUGCUUAUCUAAUAAUCUCCCUGCAUCCAAUUCAAAAUCUUGCUACGCUUUCUUGUGGCAACACUGUCAUCAUUUCUCCAUCCAAUCCUUGCUAACUGCCUCUCUUAGCUUGAUGUAGACUUCAUAAAAAGUAAAUAUCAGGUUCAUGCAAAAUAAGAUUUGCUUUGCUGAGUGUUAAAGUCUGUCCUUCUGAUGUAGACUCUUAUUUUUGUUCAGAUAAAGUCUGUUUAUGAGGCUCAUAACUUUUUGGAAAUCUCUCUCUUUUUUUUUUUUUUUUUUUUUUAAGAUUAAUAUGAUUUAGGCAAUUGCAACUAAAUGAAUGCUUCCUGUUCUCAUUUCUCAUUGCUCCCAAAGAGUUUGAAUAGAAACCACAGAACUUUUCUAUAUAGAGCCCUGGGGUAGAUUGCUUCAGUAACCAGGAAAUACUAUGGACUUCUUAAAUAUAGUCUUGUCUUGAAUGUUAAACAAGAUGGUGAUCUUGGCAGCUUUAUUUCCAGAAUCAGAGGUAGAAAUACCAGCUGUAUUCUGCCCGGACAUGGGAGGUUUUUUUUCUCUUGCAGUUCAAGUUGGGGCUUGUGUAAUGGACUGGUUGUCAGUUGUGGGGCUGCAUGAGUUGUUUGUGUUCAAACAGCACCUUUUGGUGCAAGAGCCCCAGCCAAAUGUUCUUCUAUAAUGAGUCAGGGCAACAAAGAUAGGGAAGGGUCUAGAGGACAAGACAUAUGAGGUGACCCUGGGUGGGCUACAAGUAGCACGAUCACCCUCAGCUCUUGCCUCUGCUGCCUCCUUCAGAAACAUCUCUCAGUGUGGGCAAGUACACACAAAUGCUAUCUGUAAAUACAUCUAGAUGCAAAAAGGUUUACUUUUAUGUGAAGUCUGUAUGCAAGAUGUUGCAUCCGAAGAUGUGAAGUAUUGUAAUGUUCAGAGAUGAGAAUGUUGUGGGAGAGGGUUAAUGCUUCACAUGAAGGCAGCAUUAGUGACCUGUAACUUGGUGCUGGUAAACCAAGUUGUCUAGAGAAUGUAGACCCAUAUCUCUUUUGUUUUCAAGAUAAACCUGACAGUUCUCAUUAAGGCUGUUUUUCCUAAUUCCCAACCCAAAAUUGUGUAUUGCUAAAAAUAGAGAUUGUAAUGAAGUUACAGCUUUCAACUGUGGGGCCUUCUGGAUAACUCCAUUAUAUUGCAAUUCUAUUAAUUAAAAUGAAGGAGGAAAAAUAUGUAAUAGGAUUGUGUUAAUAAAGCAUGAAAUGAAGUGUUACCUUAAGACA